AGUCGAGCGGCAGCACAGGUACUUGUACCGGGUGGCGAGCGGCGGACGGGUGAGUAAUGCCUAGGAAUCUGCCUGGUAGUGGGGGAUAACGCUCGGAAACGGACGCUAAUACCGCAUACGUCCUACGGGAGAAAGCAGGGGACCUUCGGGCCUUGCGCUAUCAGAUGAGCCUAGGUCGGAUUAGCUAGUUGGUGGGGUAAUGGCUCACCAAGGCGACGAUCCGUAACUGGUCUGAGAGGAUGAUCAGUCACACUGGAACUGAGACACGGUCCAGACUCCUACGGGAGGCAGCAGUGGGGAAUAUUGGACAAUGGGCGAAAGCCUGAUCCAGCCAUGCCGCGUGUGUGAAGAAGGUCUUCGGAUUGUAAAGCACUUUAAGUUGGGAGGAAGGGCAGUUGCUUAAUACGUGACUGUUUUGACGUUACCGACAGAAUAAGCACCGGCUAACUCUGUGCCAGCAGCCGCGGUAAUACAGAGGGUGCAAGCGUUAAUCGGAAUUACUGGGCGUAAAGCGCGCGUAGGUGGUUUGUUAAGUUGAAUGUGAAAUCCCCGGGCUCAACCUGGGAACUGCAUCCAAAACUGGCAAGCUAGAGUAUGGUAGA
Molecule: ribosomal RNA, 602 nt
Filed under: Pseudomonas sp. Ia1
Lineage: Bacteria; Pseudomonadati; Pseudomonadota; Gammaproteobacteria; Pseudomonadales; Pseudomonadaceae
Description: bacterial SSU rRNA
Rfam family: Bacterial small subunit ribosomal RNA
Source: RNAcentral